Molecule: ribosomal RNA, 300 nt
Filed under: uncultured Thermofilum sp.
Lineage: Archaea; Thermoproteati; Thermoproteota; Thermoprotei; Thermofilales; Thermofilaceae
Description: bacterial SSU rRNA
Rfam family: Bacterial small subunit ribosomal RNA (bases 52-300)
Source: RNAcentral
GGGUGAUGAGUGGCGUAGGCGGGGGUAAUGCGUGGGUGGGUACGGUUGGCGGGAGUUGUGGGUCGGAAGGAGGGCGCAGGCGGUGCAGUAAGUCGGGUGGGAAAGGCAAGGGGGGAAGCGGAGAGGGUGUUUGGAAGGUGGGGGACGUGUGUGCAGAAGAGGAAAGCGGAAGUUGACGUGAAGUGGGUAAAUGCUUGGAGAGGUGGAGGAACGCCAGUGGCGAAGGCGGCUUGCUGGUCUGUAACGGACGCUGAGGCGCGAAAGCGUGGGGAGCAAACAGGAUUAGAUACCCGGGUAGUC